RNAcentral lists this ribosomal RNA (460 nucleotides) under uncultured bacterium. Its description in RNAcentral is "partial 16S ribosomal RNA". It matches the Rfam family "Bacterial small subunit ribosomal RNA", at positions 338 to 795 of the family's 1533-position model. The record is from RNAcentral.
CCUACGGGAGGCAGCAGUGAGGAAUAUUGGUCAAUGGACGAGAGUCUGAACCAGCCAAGUAGCGUGAAGGAUGACUGCCCUCUGGGUUGUAAACUUCUUUUAUAUGGGAAUAAAAUGUUCCACGUGUGGGAUUUUGUAUGUACCAUAUGAAUAAGGAUCGGCUAACUCCGUGCCAGCAGCCGCGGUAAUACGGAGGAUCCGAGCGUUAUCCGGAUUUAUUGGGUGUAAAGGGCGCGUAGGUGGAUUGUUAAGUCAGUUGUGAAAGUUUGCGGCUCAACCGUAAAAUUGCAGUUGAAACUGGCAGUCUUGAGUACAGUAGAGGUGGGCGGAAUUCGUGGUGUAGCGGUGAAAUGCUUAGAUAUCACGAAGAACUCCGAUUGCGAAGGCAGUUCACUGGACUGCAACUGACACUGAGGCUCGAAGGUGUGGGUAUCAAACGGGAUUAGAUACCCGUGUAGUC